Molecule: long non-coding RNA, 1661 nt
Organism: Neopsephotus bourkii (Bourke's parrot)
Lineage: Eukaryota; Metazoa; Chordata; Aves; Psittaciformes; Psittacidae
Exons: 6
Source: RefSeq, a predicted model, not a curated record
CACCAGGAGCAGCCCCUGAAGGGCGCAGACGGCCAGGGCGGCGCUCGGGCCGGGCAGCAUCGCCGGUGGCUGCGGUAUUCCCUUGCGAGGCGCGGGAGGAAAGGUCCGAAAGCCGGGAUGAGUUUUCUUUCCAGCAACAAAGCUCCUGGAUUUCCUGUUGCUGCUGCCUGGGAUGGGGCAAAGAAACGAGCCGAGUUGUUCCCCGCUGCUUCCCUGCAUUGCCUGUCCCUGGAGCUGCGUGAGCAUCAGCAAUGGAUAAAGCAACUCCCUUGGUUUGAACCAAAGGACUCCAGCUCCCCUUUCAGAGCACCCAAACUGCGUGAUCCACAGGCUGCAAGAUUCCCUGGUGACCGACAGAACAUCCUGGAAAAACACCCAAAGCCUAAACAAAACAGGCUCCUGUGAGCUAAAUACAGGGAUACACAGGAAAAGCUUUUAAUCUUGGAUAGACAGUCAGAAUUGUCCUGCCUUCCUCUCCCAGAAAAUAAAAAGAGAAUCCUAUAAACCGUAUUUUACUGUCCAAGACAUUGUCUGAUGAAUGAGAAUGGGAGAGGGGAAGUAAGAGAAGAGGGAAGACCUUGAGAAAGGAUGCAAUCCUAGGCUUGGCUUUAGGACAUGAAUACAAAAUGCGCCUCACUCUCAUGGAAAUAGAUAAAGUUUCUCUAGGAAAAAUGUAGAUGAGCAGCAUCAGCAUUGCAUUUAAUUGUCUUUCCUCUGUUUUGGACAAUUGUUUUUGUGGGGCUCAGUGAUAACUGAUAGAAAUCUCACCUCUGGCAGAACAAUGUACAGUGUUAAAAAUGUAAAUCCCACAGAACUAAAAGCACCUAGAAACAGCUCUAUAAGGGCCAGAGAGUGAAGCUCUGUCUGUGGAGAUGUGCUCAGGCUACAGGUUAUCUUUGGGGCAUUUGGAAGAAGUUUUGUCCUUUUGCACCUCCCUGCAGAUCCCAUGCUGAGCAGACCUUGGCCAACUCCAAGCCCUGAAGAGAGGUAUCUAGGAUCCCCCUGCAUUCAAUCAUACAUCCCAAAUUUCCUUAUCAUCCUCACACACCCAAGCUUGUUUUGAGUCUUUCUCUGACCGUUUGGUUCAAGUCAGCUUAUGAUAAGAAGGAAAAAUCUCUUUAUCCUGAGUCUAUCCCUGUUUAAGAAACAAGCAGGGGAUUUCAUAAGGAGCAAGGAGAGAUUGUGCAGGGAGGGGAGCAGGGAGAAGGCUGACCCCAAAUAAAGCCUGUUAUUAUCUUACUGUCAUCUUACAGAAGAACAUGAAUGUACUACUGACAGGAGCCCCACACCACAGACUGGGAGAGACCCCCAGGAAAAGUCAGGACUGUUGCAGGAAUGUGUGGUAGGACGCAUCCUAAACAUCCUACCUUGCAUGAGGGACCUUCUCAGCAGGACCCAACCGGCGGUCCUGCCCCUGGGGUGCUGCAUCACCAGGGUACUUGAUGAGGCCUCAUCCAGCAACUUGAGGACUCUGUUCUGCUGCACAUCACCUGAGCACUGCCUGGGAAGGAGAGAGCCUGAACUCAGUCCAGUAUCCUGUGUGCUUGUAACUCAGCAGGGUCAGCAUGGCCAAGGUGCAAGAAGUGUAUGGGAAAACCCAACCCUUUGGUUCCCAUUGCCAAUGAGCUGAGAAGGGAAGCAAAUGUACCAACAUAUCCUCU